Molecule: ribosomal RNA, 497 nt
Filed under: uncultured bacterium
Lineage: Bacteria
Description: partial 16S ribosomal RNA
Rfam family: Bacterial small subunit ribosomal RNA
Source: RNAcentral
GAUGAACGCUGGCGGCGUGCCUAAUACAUGCAAGUCGAGCGAACAGACGAGGAGCUUGCUCCUCUGACGUUAGCGGCGGACGGGUGAGUAACACGUGGAUAACCUACCUAUAAGACUGGGAUAACUUCGGGAAACCGGAGCUAAUACCGGAUAAUAUAUUGAACCGCAUGGUUCAAUAGUGAAAGACGGUUUUGCUGUCACUUAUAAAUGGAUCCGCGCCGCAUUAGCUAGUUGGUAAGGUAACGGCUUACCAAGGCGACGAUGCGUAGCCGACCUGAGAGGGGGAUCGGCCACACUGGAACUGAGACACGGUCCAGACUCCUACGGGAGGCAGCAGUAGGGAAUCUUCCGCAAUGGGCGAAAGCCUGACGGAGCAACGCCGCGUGAGUGAUGAAGGUCUUCGGAUCGUAAAACUCUGUUAUUAGGGAAGAACAAAUGUGUAAGUAACUAUGCACGUCUUGACGGUACCUAAUCAGAAAGCCACGGCUAACUACGUG